AGACUGGAGGCUGCAGAAGGCAGAUCCUAACUGAGUGAAUCUCCAUAGCUGAUCCAUGCCUCAAGCUAAGGAGGUACCUAUAUUAUUGUCUUGUGGUGGAAGCAGUUGUUCACAGAGAAUGGUUUAUUACUUUUCUCUUUAAAAUUACCUUUCAAUGAGGAGGUUGACAAACAUGUCAUAGGAGGACUUCUACUAUGUCUUAAACAGCAACAGCAAUCAAGCUUCAGAAAUCCACUGUCUAUGAAGAUAAAAUCAAAGUGAGAUUUUUUUUUUCUUUUGUUAAUUAAUUACAUACAUAGAUUUUCAAAAUACUGAAUAAAUGUAUUUAAUUAAAAAAAAUAUUUAUCUAA
This 350-nucleotide long non-coding RNA is filed under the name Anas platyrhynchos platyrhynchos (common mallard). RNAcentral's name for it is "lncRNA (ENSAPLG00000023313.1)". The record is from RNAcentral. Lineage: Eukaryota; Metazoa; Chordata; Aves; Anseriformes; Anatidae.